This is a long non-coding RNA of Cynoglossus semilaevis (tongue sole), 517 nucleotides long. RefSeq lists it as uncharacterized. The record is from RefSeq and is a predicted model, not a curated record. The transcript is spliced from 2 exons. NCBI's taxonomy places the organism in Eukaryota, Metazoa, Chordata, Actinopteri, Pleuronectiformes, Cynoglossidae.
UUUUUUCCAGUUUUUUUUUUCUUCUUCUUUUUUCUGUGGACUUCUCAGCUUCGAUUCGCCCUCCUCUCUCGCACAGAAGCCGUGUGUUUCGCUGUGGACCAGAACCGAGAACUGAUUUGCGUGAAAAUAAGAAGACCACACAUUGUUGACCGGCUCUAUGUUGCGCGCUCUCUUGUCAUUGGAGCCGCGCACUUGAUGGGAAUACAGACACCAAGUACUGUUGCAGGGACUAUGUUUUCCAAAUCAGGUAGGAAUGGACUGGGCUGUGGAUUCUGGAAGCUAGUAAAGGCUGUCUGCAUGGAACUCUGUCUUUAAAGGAGCGGGAAACACUUAUGGACACCUGUGUGGCUCAACAUAAGUACUCUGAGGCACGUCAUCAGUGGGUUCUUUUUCUUUCCUCCCUCGCCUGUCUGUUUCGGGUCUGCUAGGCUGCAGUGUCUGCUCCGAACCCUGACACCGGUUGACAAAACUGAGUGAUUGUUCAUUACAUUCAAGGACAUCGACACAGCAAGAGAGC